GGUGACCUGCCCCCUCCCCUCCCUCCUUUCUCCCCAUCUCUCCCUCCAGCGCUGGGUCAUAAAUCCGUUGUUGUUUAUGAAAAUUUACAACAUAGCAAUGCAACUUUACGACCUGGCUCGCCUUCCUAUUGGCUGCAGCUCGUCACGUGACAGGGAGCCGUGAACAUGAACUUUUUUAUAUAUAAUUUCCAAUAGCGGAAUAGAGCAGCCUUUCAUUUAACGGUCUCGAGCGUCUCCGCGGCUGUUUUCACCAGCGAGCCUCCACAUUUUUGCACAUCCUCUACCUUUUGUGAAGAGUUUUUACUCGGUGAGUCAGAGGCUACAAGCUCAAGAGCUUGCCUUAAGGACAUGUCUGAAUCCUUAGGGUGCUCUGCUGUCGCUCUCCUGACACGUUUUAGCAGGAUGAGAGGGAACAGUCCCGGUGCCUCGGUGACCCCUCGGGAGCCUCAGCUUCCGUCCAGGGACGCAGCUGGAGACUUCCUCCACUCACCGGCUCUCUACACCUGCCAACUCUGUCCGCUCAGCCCCCCUGUCUGCAGGCACAGACCUCCACAAGGUAAGGGACCGUUUGAACUCUCUUUGUCAACUCGCAAAGCUUUGAGCGAAUGAUAGCCAGUUCUUUUAUUCUAAUACCACGCUUUGUUUGCUUACUGUAUACAUGGAGUGCGUUUAUUUGAUUAGGAUUUGAAUGUCAGUUGCUGCAGGGCUGAUUGAACCACUUUGAAUGAGAUAACAUUAAAGCUGUUGUUUCUGCUGCUGCUUUCCUUUGAUCUCUCUGUCGGCUCCUGCGCGCUUUCACCACUACAUUUGUUUGUUGUGGCAUUUAAAUGGAGACGGGCUUUCAGAUGCACACUUCAUUGGGUGGAUGUUGGUCAGUGCUUGGGCUCUUUGACGCCCUCCUGUGGAUACACUGUGGUGGUUGCUGUUGCAGCUCUGCUUGUUAUGCUGCACGUGGACCUCAGACAUGUCGACCUCUGUUUUGUACCUGUGCGUCCUGCAUGAAUCUAGGAUUUGUGUUAUAUAUAUAUGCGCGACCAGGCCCCGAUUUAUAUCCAUAAAGGCUGCUGAUAAACUGCAAGAUGGAUGUUUGGGGAAAAAAAGGGUUUUACUUUUGGAUGAUUCUUCUUUGGAGCGAAUUCAUAUCUCUAUGAGAGUAAUCCUAAUAUAUAUUUUUAUAAUUUUUAUUUGUUUCUGGUUUGAAAAAAUAAUUUUUACUGGAUUUUAAAGAGGAACAUUUUAUUUUUGGUGCUUUUAAUGUGUAUCGAUUGAGCCCAAAUGUUCUCUAUUAUGACACUGUCGUGGUUAUUAUUUCGUAUAGCGAAUUAAUUCGGCAAAACAACUGAAUACUGAAAAAUAAAAUUCAAGAAACACCAAAUAAAACAUAUUUUCGUGCAUUAGGAAUACAGUUAAAAUCCCACGUUUAGUAUCUGUGAGUUGAAACCCCCAACUUCGCUUUAAAAAAUAAAUCGUUGGACUUCAGUGUGUCUUGGUGGAAACGGUUUUAUAGCCUUUUGUGAUUUAAAUGUGUGUGUUGUUGUCAUCAGGUUGAAGAUUUUCUAUUCCUUAAGGAGUUUGGCUAUCUAGAAUGUUGAUAUUGUGGGUUUUCGUCGAGUAUCUGCUGUGCGUAAUGGUACAAUAAUAUCAUUACGCACGAGAUUGUGGUCGUGAGUUCUGCUGGUGUGUGUUUGUGCCUGCAGAGUGCACUGCCCUCCCGUUUCCUGCAGCAGUGGCCCCUUCGCUCCCGACCCAACAUGUUUGACACUCUCUUCUAUCCUUUCUUUCGCUCCUUAUUUAGUUCCUGGGUGUGUCCCUGGCUCAACGCCGGGAAAUACUUUUCGUGGGAACUUUGUUGCCAUUGGUCAGCCAUAAAUCAGCUGUUGGGGCAUGACUGUUUAGCCAACACACACUUGGUAUGGGUCUCCACUCAUUACGGGCCCAGUGGAUGUGGAAGCUUGGUCCUUAUCGUGCCUUCUGGGGUUGUUUUACCGCUCAGAGCGCACAUACCUUGAAGAGAAUAAAUCUUUAAAGUAUUGCGCUUUUCAGAAACACGUGAAACAUGUGCUGGUUUGAGGGGCUGCGUUAGGGGCAAAGGGUUCGAUGUGGGAAGCAGAGGACAUAUCGCUGCCUCUAAGGAACGAAGGUGCCAUAAAAAUUCCAGAAGGAGAAAAGCAAACGGAAUGCGCGAGACGGGGUGUCAUUUCUCUUUUUAGACAUUGUUUGUGUCAAGGUGGAUGUGGAUUUUCCUGUUUUUGUAUUCCUGCUCUGAAUUAGCAGGAAAAGGUGGUUUUACGCGUUUACAUAAACAAACAGACCAGUUUAGGAUGGAAGCAUCUUUACAAAAAAAAUAUGAGGAUCCCUAUAAGGUCAAACUAAAAUCCUAUGACCGGUUAUCACCAUCUCUGUUGUUAUCUUUCGACCGAUUUGACAUUCAUGUUGUAGAGCCAGUUUUACAAAAAAGGUGCCUUCUUUAUCUUUUGGUGCAAGAAUGGGGAUAGAAAUUAAAGACAAUUUUAGCCUAAUUUUAUAUUCAAACAGCCAAGCAACAAAGUGCAGAUUACAAACUAUUUUCUGAGUAUUGUGUUUGUUUUAUGCCUUAAAAGUUGCAAAUGGUUGUCUUACAAUUUCGCUGUUCGCUUUCCAUCUCGAUCAUUUCCAGGCCCAACUUUAUUCGAAAUUCUAUUUGCUUUUUAAAAAUGGUGUGUGUAAUUUUGCUAACACAAAGAACGCUAUGUCUGUUUUUGACAGUUAACGUUCAUCAGAACUAGAACAGCUGC
RNAcentral lists this long non-coding RNA (2774 nucleotides) under Xyrichtys novacula (pearly razorfish). The record is from RNAcentral. Lineage: Eukaryota; Metazoa; Chordata; Actinopteri; Labriformes; Labridae.